GACGGAUUGGCGGCAGCGAGAAGGCAGUGCAGGUGUGCGAGUUACUUUAAGGCUUUGAAAAACCUGGCAAUGAAUUAUUCUGGCUGAGUUCUGUCGCUUAUCAAGCAAAAAUCUGAGUUGCGAUCAGAGUUCUUCAAAGAUCUCGACAAAUAUACUCCUCGCUUCCUGGAGAAGUUCAAAACCCAGAGGGGGAAAGUGUCGGACAGAAACUUGAAUAUCUGCAACAAGUCACACCUGGGAGUACAGAUGUGACUGGGAGGUGAACAGCAGUCCUCCGUGGUUCUCCCGUCAUCCUUGGAGAUGACAACGCAGACUUCUUCAAGAAUUUGAGGUUCAGGAGCAGCCAAUAUGAUGCAGGUGUGACGGCUGAAGAUGGUAGGUACCUGUUCAGCCUCCUGUGGUAGGAGCACAUUUCCCAGAAGCAGCAGUGACAAAGAAAUGUGGAUGUUUACCACGAAUAUGGUUGGUUGCCCACGUAUUAAACGUUGGUCUUUCUUUAUUGAAGGUGUGAGUUUAGGAUGGCAUGAAGCUUCGACUUGACCCUAUGGAAACACAGCAGAAGCCACGAACGGGUCCUGAUCGGGGACUCUGAUGACCUUCUGGACGUGUCCCACACCUCCAUUGGGACCCUGACGGUGCUGAAGACAUCGUGGCCCCCUCACUCGCUGGACCUGGAGUCUACAACUACUGCCAUCGUUUUGGGAGGAACAGUCGUGAUGGGUGACCGUGAUCAUCUUCCCCGUGCCGUGUGGCUACUCUUCGGACUUAUUUACCCCUGAAUUUGGAGUAUCCUCAACGAGUGAGGAACACCUUCUGAAUUUAUUCAUAGAGUGCUUCUCACUUGGACCAAAAACCCUAAAAUACAAUCACUCAAAUAUCUACUGAUGCCAUAAGGGACUGUGUUCAUGAUGUGCAGUCAGGCCGAGAACUUCACCCUUCUAUCUCCAAUUGAACUCUUUUCUAGAAAAUGUCUGUUUUUGUUGUUUUUCUGUCGUGAAAUUUAGCAAAUGCCGAAAACGCUGUGUUCAUCAUAUUUCUGCGUUACAAAACCUAAUCUGGCAACAUGUUCAGCGUUUUAAGCACGUUGUUUGAG
Pseudoliparis swirei is the source of this 1093-nucleotide long non-coding RNA. RefSeq lists it as uncharacterized. The transcript is spliced from 6 exons. The record is from RefSeq and is a predicted model, not a curated record. NCBI's taxonomy places the organism in Eukaryota, Metazoa, Chordata, Actinopteri, Perciformes, Liparidae.